Molecule: long non-coding RNA, 412 nt
Filed under: Gossypium raimondii (Peruvian cotton)
Lineage: Eukaryota; Viridiplantae; Streptophyta; Magnoliopsida; Malvales; Malvaceae
Description: long non-coding RNA (GRAI_LNC008858)
Source: RNAcentral
GGUUUAGGAUUUACAAUUUUAAGGUUUAUAGAGUAUGGAAUUAGGGAUUCUGGUUUAAGGGUUGUGAUUUAGGGGUUAGGGGUUAGGGAUUUGGGUUAGUGUUUAGGGUUUAGGGUUAAUUAGUGUUUUUAAAUUUAUAUAUUAAAUAAGGUUUAGGGGUUAGUAGUUAUGGGUUUGGGGUCUGGGGUUUAGGGUUUGAGGUUUAGGGUUAAGGGUUUAGGAUUUGGGGUUAGGGGUUAGAGGUUAAGAGUUAGUGAUUUAAGGUUUAGAGAUUCAAGGUCGGGUUAGGGUUUAAGGUUUAGAUUAAUUAGUAUUUUUUAAUUUAUAGAUUAGUUAAGUUUUUAUAUAAUUAUAAAAGAGGGGUUAGGGGUUUAGGGUUUAUGUUUUAUGAUUUAUGAUUUAGGAGAUAGGG